GGCAUCGAUGAAGAACGCAGCGAAAUGCGAUAAGUAAUGUGAAUUGCAGAAUUCCGUGAAUCAUCGAAUCUUUGAACGCACAUUGCGCCCCCUGGCAUUCCGGGGGGCAUGCCUGUUCGAGCGUCAUU
RNAcentral lists this ribosomal RNA (128 nucleotides) under Microsporum canis. Its description in RNAcentral is "partial 5.8S ribosomal RNA". It matches the Rfam family "5.8S ribosomal RNA", at positions 30 to 154 of the family's 154-position model. Rfam says of the family: 5.8S ribosomal RNA (5.8S rRNA) is a component of the large subunit of the eukaryotic ribosome. It is transcribed by RNA polymerase I as part of the 45S precursor that also contains 18S and 28S rRNA. Functionally, it is thought that 5.8S rRNA may be involved in ribosome translocation. Lineage: Eukaryota; Fungi; Ascomycota; Eurotiomycetes; Onygenales; Arthrodermataceae. The record is from RNAcentral.